GACGAACGCUGGCGGCGUGCUUAACACAUGCAAGUCGAACGGAAAGGCCCCUUUGGGGGUACUCGAGUGGCGAACGGGUGAGUAACACGUGAGUAACCUGCCCUUGACUUCGGGAUAACUUCAGGAAACUGGGGCUAAUACCGGAUAGGAAUCCUUGCUGCAUGGUGGGGGUUGGAAAGCUUCGGCGGUUUUGGAUGGACUCGCGGCUUAUCAGCUUGUUGGCGGGGUAGUGGCUUACCAAGGCUUUGACGGGUAGCCGGCCUGAGAGGGCGACCGGCCACAUUGGGACUGAGAUACGGCCCAGACUCCGACGGGAGGCAGCAGUGGGGAAUAUUGCACAAUGGGCGGAAGCCUGAUGCAGCAACGCCGCGGGCGGGAUGACGGCCUUCGGGUUGUAAACCGCUUUCAGCAGGGGCGAAGCUUGUGGUGACGGUACCUGCAGAAGAAGCACCGGCUAACUACGUG
RNAcentral lists this ribosomal RNA (465 nucleotides) under uncultured bacterium. RNAcentral describes it as "partial 16S ribosomal RNA". It matches the Rfam family "Bacterial small subunit ribosomal RNA", at positions 28 to 507 of the family's 1533-position model. The record is from RNAcentral.